This 484-nucleotide ribosomal RNA is filed under the name uncultured bacterium. RNAcentral describes it as "partial 16S ribosomal RNA". It matches the Rfam family "Bacterial small subunit ribosomal RNA", at positions 30 to 507 of the family's 1533-position model. The record is from RNAcentral.
AUUGAACGCUGGCGGCAGGCCUAACACAUGCAAGUCGAGCGGAUGAAGGGAGCUUGCUCCUGGAUUCAGCGGCGGACGGGUGAGUAAUGCCUAGGAAUCUGCCUGGUAGUGGGGGAUAACGUCCGGAAACGGGCGCUAAUACCGCAUACGUCCUGCGGGAGAAAGUGGGGGAUCUUCGGACCUCACGCUAUCAGAUGAGCCUAGGUCGGAUUAGCUAGUUGGGGGGGUAAAGGCCUACCAAGGCGACGAUCCGUAACUGGUCUGAGAGGAUGAUCAGUCACACUGGAACUGAGACACGGUCCAGACUCCUACGGGAGGCAGCAGUGGGGAAUAUUGGACAAUGGGCGAAAGCCUGAUCCAGCCAUGCCGCGUGUGUGAAGAAGGUCUUCGGAUUGUAAAGCACUUUAAGUUGGGAGGAAGGGCAGUAAGUUAAUACCUUGCUGUUUUGACGUUACCAACAGAAUAAGCACCGGCUAACUUCGUG